AAAAUUUCCGGAGGUAUACGAUGGACCCGCGUCUGAUUAGCCAGUUGGCAGGGUAACGGCCUACCAAAGCAACGAUCAGUAGCCGGCCUGAGAGGGUGGACGGCCACAUUGGGACUGAGACACGGCCCAAACUCCUGCGGGAGGCAGCAGUGGGGGAUAUUGCACAAUGGGGGAAACCCUGAUGCAGCGACGCCGCGUGAGUGAAGAAGCAUUUCGGUGUGUAAAGCUCUAUCAGCAGGGAAGAAGAAUGACGGUACCUGACUAAGAAGCCCCGGCUAACUACGUGCCAGCAGCCGCGGUAAUACGUAGGGGGCAAGCGUUAUCCGGAUUUACUGGGUGUAAAGGGAGCGUAGACGGCAAUGCAAGCCAGACGUGAAAACCCGCAGCUCAACUGGGGGAGUGCAUUUGGAACUGUGUAGCUGGAGUGCAGGAGAGGUAAGCGGAAUUCCUGGUGUAGCGGUGAAAUGCGUAGAUAUCAGGAGGAACACCAGUGGCGAAGGCGGCUUACUGGACUGUAACUGACGUUGAGGCUCGAAAGCGUGGGGAGCAAACAGGAUUAGAUACCCUGGUAGUCCACGCUGUAAACGAUGAAUACUAGGUGUCGGGGGUUUACGGACGCCCG
Molecule: ribosomal RNA, 622 nt
Filed under: uncultured bacterium
Lineage: Bacteria
Description: bacterial SSU rRNA
Rfam family: Bacterial small subunit ribosomal RNA
Source: RNAcentral